Molecule: ribosomal RNA, 2902 nt
Filed under: Escherichia coli UMEA 3355-1
Lineage: Bacteria; Pseudomonadati; Pseudomonadota; Gammaproteobacteria; Enterobacterales; Enterobacteriaceae
Description: bacterial LSU rRNA
Rfam family: Bacterial large subunit ribosomal RNA
Source: RNAcentral
UUAAGCGACUAAGCGUACACGGUGGAUGCCCUGGCAGUCAGAGGCGAUGAAGGACGUGCUAAUCUGCGAUAAGCGUCGGUAAGGUGAUAUGAACCGUUAUAACCGGCGAUUUCCGAAUGGGGAAACCCAGUGUGAUUCGUCACACUAUCAUUAACUGAAUCCAUAGGUUAAUGAGGCGAACCGGGGGAACUGAAACAUCUAAGUACCCCGAGGAAAAGAAAUCAACCGAGAUUCCCCCAGUAGCGGCGAGCGAACGGGGAGGAGCCCAGAGCCUGAAUCAGUGUGUGUGUUAGUGGAAGCGUCUGGAAAGGCGCGCGAUACAGGGUGACAGCCCCGUACACAAAAAUGCACAUAUUGUGAGCUCGAUGAGUAGGGCGGGACACGUGGUAUCCUGUCUGAAUAUGGGGGGACCAUCCUCCAAGGCUAAAUACUCCUGACUGACCGAUAGUGAACCAGUACCGUGAGGGAAAGGCGAAAAGAACCCCGGCGAGGGGAGUGAAAAAGAACCUGAAACCGUGUACGUACAAGCAGUGGGAGCACGCUUAGGCGUGUGACUGCGUACCUUUUGUAUAAUGGGUCAGCGACUUAUAUUCUGUAGCAAGGUUAACCGAAUAGGGGAGCCGAAGGGAAACCGAGUCUUAACUGGGCGUUAAGUUGCAGGGUAUAGACCCGAAACCCGGUGAUCUAGCCAUGGGCAGGUUGAAGGUUGGGUAACACUAACUGGAGGACCGAACCGACUAAUGUUGAAAAAUUAGCGGAUGACUUGUGGCUGGGGGUGAAAGGCCAAUCAAACCGGGAGAUAGCUGGUUCUCCCCGAAAGCUAUUUAGGUAGCGCCUCGUGAAUUCAUCUCCGGGGGUAGAGCACUGUUUCGGCAAGGGGGUCAUCCCGACUUACCAACCCGAUGCAAACUGCGAAUACCGGAGAAUGUUAUCACGGGAGACACACGGCGGGUGCUAACGUCCGUCGUGAAGAGGGAAACAACCCAGACCGCCAGCUAAGGUCCCAAAGUCAUGGUUAAGUGGGAAACGAUGUGGGAAGGCCCAGACAGCCCGGAUGUUGGCUUAGAAGCAGCCAUCAUUUAAAGAAAGCGUAAUAGCUCACUGGUCGAGUCGGCCUGCGCGGAAGAUGUAACGGGGCUAAACCAUGCACCGAAGCUGCGGCAGCGACGCUUAUGCGUUGUUGGGUAGGGGAGCGUUCUGUAAGCCUGUGAAGGUGUGCUGUGAGGCAUGCUGGAGGUAUCAGAAGUGCGAAUGCUGACAUAAGUAACGAUAAAGCGGGUGAAAAGCCCGCUCGCCGGAAGACCAAGGGUUCCUGUCCAACGUUAAUCGGGGCAGGGUGAGUCGACCCCUAAGGCGAGGCCGAAAGGCGUAGUCGAUGGGAAACAGGUUAAUAUUCCUGUACUUGGUGUUACUGCGAAGGGGGGACGGAGAAGGCUAUGUUGGCCGGGCGACGGUUGUCCCGGUUUAAGCGUGUAGGCUGGUUUUCCAGGCAAAUCCGGAAAAUCAAGGCUGAGGCGUGAUGACGAGGCACUACGGUGCUGAAGCAACAAAUGCCCUGCUUCCAGGAAAAGCCUCUAAGCAUCAGGUAACAUCGAAUCGUACCCCAAACCGACACAGGUGGUCAGGUAGAGAAUACCAAGGCGCUUGAGAGAACUCGGGUGAAGGAACUAGGCAAAAUGGUGCCGUAACUUCGGGAGAAGGCACGCUGAUAUGUAGGUGAAGCGACUUGCUCGUGGAGCUGAAAUCAGUCGAAGAUACCAGCUGGCUGCAACUGUUUAUUAAAAACACAGCACUGUGCAAACACGAAAGUGGACGUAUACGGUGUGACGCCUGCCCGGUGCCGGAAGGUUAAUUGAUGGGGUCAGCGCAAGCGAAGCUCUUGAUCGAAGCCCCGGUAAACGGCGGCCGUAACUAUAACGGUCCUAAGGUAGCGAAAUUCCUUGUCGGGUAAGUUCCGACCUGCACGAAUGGCGUAAUGAUGGCCAGGCUGUCUCCACCCGAGACUCAGUGAAAUUGAACUCGCUGUGAAGAUGCAGUGUACCCGCGGCAAGACGGAAAGACCCCGUGAACCUUUACUAUAGCUUGACACUGAACAUUGAGCCUUGAUGUGUAGGAUAGGUGGGAGGCUUAGAAGUGUGGACGCCAGUCUGCAUGGAGCCGACCUUGAAAUACCACCCUUUAAUGUUUGAUGUUCUAACGUUGACCCGUAAUCCGGGUUGCGGACAGUGUCUGGUGGGUAGUUUGACUGGGGCGGUCUCCUCCUAAAGAGUAACGGAGGAGCACGAAGGUUGGCUAAUCCUGGUCGGACAUCAGGAGGUUAGUGCAAUGGCAUAAGCCAGCUUGACUGCGAGCGUGACGGCGCGAGCAGGUGCGAAAGCAGGUCAUAGUGAUCCGGUGGUUCUGAAUGGAAGGGCCAUCGCUCAACGGAUAAAAGGUACUCCGGGGAUAACAGGCUGAUACCGCCCAAGAGUUCAUAUCGACGGCGGUGUUUGGCACCUCGAUGUCGGCUCAUCACAUCCUGGGGCUGAAGUAGGUCCCAAGGGUAUGGCUGUUCGCCAUUUAAAGUGGUACGCGAGCUGGGUUUAGAACGUCGUGAGACAGUUCGGUCCCUAUCUGCCGUGGGCGCUGGAGAACUGAGGGGGGCUGCUCCUAGUACGAGAGGACCGGAGUGGACGCAUCACUGGUGUUCGGGUUGUCAUGCCAAUGGCACUGCCCGGUAGCUAAAUGCGGAAGAGAUAAGUGCUGAAAGCAUCUAAGCACGAAACUUGCCCCGAGAUGAGUUCUCCCUGACCCUUUAAGGGUCCUGAAGGAACGUUGAAGACGACGACGUUGAUAGGCCGGGUGUGUAAGCGCAGCGAUGCGUUGAGCUAACCGGUACUAAUGAACCGUGAGGCUUAACCUU